UUCUUCCAGCUUCUGCCUGCAUUACCCACUUUAGUCUACCAGGAACCCUAUAAAGUAAGUGUUAUUAUCACCCACUUUAUUUUACAGAGUCUCAAACUGAAGCACAGAGAGAUUCAGUGAAGAUCAUUCAAGUUGCACGGCUACCAAGUAGCAGAGGGGACACCCAGGCCUACCUGAGUGUGGCCCAAAGCAGGAGCACACAGAAAAUCCCAGGGAGCUCCCUUCCAUCCGAGCUCCCUGCAGCCUGGAGGUGCGUGCCUGGCCUGGGUUACUCUGGUUCACAGGCGCUCCCUCUGCCUCGCGCAUACCAGACCAUCCUGGGAAGCAGUCAGCUCUCAGAACCUGGUGUCUCAGGAAGAUGCCACGUGGCUUCGGGCUGCUCUGAUGAAACACAUAAUGCGGGUAUUUUUAUGGGCCUCUGAGGAUUCUGGCAGGAUGACCUCAUGCCAGGAAUAACAAUGAGGGGCCCCGGGGAGCUUGCUGCCAGCCCUGCUGCAUGAGGCAGGAGGAUGGGAGCCAGGCGACGGCAGGACAGGGCUGGGAUAACCUUGUCCACAGAUGUCCCAAGGAAGGGCCCCCAGGGCCUCCCCCUCCCUUUCUCCUCCUGAGCAGGGGAGUGUCCCUCCAGCACUGAGAGCAAAGGGUGGGGGGGUUUUCUAGGAGCCAAGCCAAGGCAAUGCCAGCCAAGUGGUGCGCCUCUUUUGAGCACUUGCUGUGUGCUGGGCUGUGCCUGCACUUUGCAGCCCUACUGGGUGCCAGAGGCUGUGUAGGUGCUUAGCACUUGCUAGCCCAGUCCUCAGAAUACCCCAGGAGAGGUGUCACUGCGAUGCCCACAGGAGGAAGCUGAGGUUCCGAGAGGCUGGGUGAUUUGCCUAACGAGCUCAUGUUUGUAGGUGGAUGAGGUUUGAGGAGGGUUCAGCUGGUUUAAGCCCAGUUGCUUACUGGUUAUGCUCUGCUGCCUUUCUCUUCAAAAAACCCGUGUCUGAUUCUGUCUUUGUGUCAUGUACAUCCUGAGGGGUCUUGGUCCAGGGAACAGAAUGUUGAAUAUGACGGUCUGGGCACCGUGUGAGUGGAAUGGUGGCCCUCCAAGGGACAUGUCCUCACCCCCGAACUUCUGAAUGUGGCCUCACCUCGAUAAAGGAUAUUUGCCGACAUAAUUGGGUGAAGGAUCUUGAGAUGAGAUCACUGUGGAUUCCCUAGGUGUCCUUAAAUUCAGUGACAAAUGUCCUGAUAGAAGGCAGUAGAGAAGAGGGAGAGAAGAUGGGUCAUGUGAAGGAGACAGACAAUGGAGUGACACAGCCACAAGCCACGGAAUGCCAGGGCCUCCCAGAGCUUCAGGAGCAAAGAAGUCUCUAGAGUCUUUGAAGAGAGCGGGCCUUAGCACAUUCUGUUCACUAGAAAUCAGUGUCCACGUCCAGCCCACGCUCAGCUAGAGGGGGCUACACCAGGGCAGAAACCACGGGGGCACCCCAGUGCCAGGAGGCAGGAGCCCCCCACCUCUAUGUCUGAUGACACCAAGGCACCAGCCCCCAACUGAAAGGGGACAGCCAUCAUUUAACACUUUUAAGGACUAACUUUGAGCUGGGGCUCUAGCCCAGGGGCAGAGUGCUUGCCUAGCAGGUGAGACACUGGGUUCGAUUCUCAGCACCACAUAUUCACAAAUAAAUAUGUCCUUCGACAACUAAAAAUAAAUAAAUAAAUUAAAAAAACUAACAUUUACUGUGCACCAGCGGUGUCAGCUCCCAUGCUAUACUCUUCAAGUCUGUCACCCACGCCGUGUCAUUUAACCCUCCCGUGAGUGCCGCAAAGGGAGGUGUUCCUGUCUCCAUUCCACAGAGGAGAAAAGGUGAAGGGCACCCGGGAACCUAUCAGAACAAGUCAGGGGCCCUCAGACUUUAGCCAC
This 1903-nucleotide long non-coding RNA is filed under the name Marmota monax (woodchuck). Lineage: Eukaryota; Metazoa; Chordata; Mammalia; Rodentia; Sciuridae. The record is from RNAcentral.